UUGGCAGCCCUGGAGACUGAACUCUUUUAUUUAUUGAUACAAAGGUACAGCAUAGGCAGCAGUAGUGCAAACUUCUCCAUACUGGCCCAACAAAGUUUCUUAACCAUGUGACCUAAAGGGCUCCACCCCAAAGGAGAAUUCAGCUUCGUGCCUAUUGAAUCCUUGAUCUUU
This 171-nucleotide small RNA is filed under the name Gopherus agassizii (Agassiz's desert tortoise). RNAcentral describes it as "TUC338 (ENSGAGG00000005173.1)". Lineage: Eukaryota; Metazoa; Chordata; Testudines; Testudinidae. The record is from RNAcentral.